UACGAAGGGGGCUAGCGUUGCUCGGAAUCACUGGGCGUAAAGCGCACGUAGGCGGAUUGUUAAGUCAGGGGUGAAAUCCUGGAGCUCAACUCCAGAACUGCCUUUGAUACUGGCGACCUUGAGUCCGGGAGAGGUGAGCGGAACUGCGAGUGUAGAGGUGAAAUUCGUAGAUAUUCGCAAGAACACCAGUGGCGAAGGCGGCUCACUGGCCCGGUACUGACGCUGAGGCACGAAAGCGUGGGGAGCAAACAGG
This 253-nucleotide ribosomal RNA is filed under the name uncultured bacterium. RNAcentral's name for it is "partial 16S ribosomal RNA". It matches the Rfam family "Bacterial small subunit ribosomal RNA", at positions 524 to 776 of the family's 1533-position model. The record is from RNAcentral.